GGUCGAUGAUGAGAACCUUAUAUUGUCCUGAAGAGAGGUGAUGACUUAAAAAUCAUGCUCAAUAGGAUUAUGCUGAGGCCCAGUCUAGGUUAAAAUUCUGGAAGAGGAUGCUGGGAUCCCAAGUUCACAGGCAGGGCCACUGUAUUUUGGACUAGAGAACUCGAGGCCCUAAAGGGCAUCUUGAGGGGGUCCAACCUGUCUCUGUGCUCCUCCAUGAGGCAGCCCUGGCUCCCUGUGUGGCCUUGGUGUUGGUGCUCUGGUUCCCAGGCGUGGCAUGUGGGCACCUCCUUCCAGAGCCCCCAUUCUCCCCUGUCUCUUUCAGUGAGCUCUUCCGCCCAUUUGGGCCCUCUGACAUUGACCGGCAUAGAUGGUGAGCUCGGAGGAAGACUUGCAUUGGGCCCAAUGGAGCUGGGCCAGUUUCUGUCAGCCAGGUCCCCAGCUCCUGAUGCACUGAAGCUCAGGCCCUUCCUGGAGCCCUGGUCUCCUGCCCUGAGCUGUGAUGGUGAGCCUGGAGGAAGACUUGCACUGGGCCUUCUGUGCGCCGGCCAGAGGCCAUCAACCAGGUGCCCAGGUCCUUUUGUACUGAAGCUUGGGCCCUUCCUGGCACCCUGGUCUCCUUCAUGGAGCUGAUGGUGAGCCUGAAGGAAGACUUGCAUCAGGACCAAUGGACCCUGGCAAGUGUCCGUCAGCCAGGUGCUCAGCCCCUGGUGCACUGAAGCUCAGGCCCUUCCUGGCCCCUUGAUCUCCUGCACUGAGCUGUGUGAGCUCUUCUGCCAAGGGGGGGCCUCCUGGCAUUGACCAACAUAGAUGGUGAGCCUGGAGGAAGAUUUGCAUUGGGCCCAAUGGCCCUGGGCCAGUGUCUGUCAGCCAGUUUCCCAGCCCCUGGUGCACUGAAGCUCAGGCCUUUCCUGGCAUCCUGGCCUCCUGCACUGAGCUGUGUGAGUGCUUCUGCCCAGGCAGGCCACUUGGCAUUGACCGGUAUAGAUGGUGAGCCUGGAGGAAGAUGUGUGGGACCCGCAGGCCGAGGGCCAGUGUCUCUCAGCCAGGUGCUCAGCCCCCAGUGGGCUGAAACUCUGACCCUUCCUGGCACCCUGCUCUCCUGCACUGUGCUGUGAUGGUGAGACUUCUGUUGGGCUUGCUUUUCCUGGGCCAGUGUCCAUCAGCCAGGUGCUCAGCCAUCGGUGCGCUGAAGCUCCAGCCCUUCCUGGUGCCCUGAUCUCCUGCACUGAGCUGUGAUGAUGAGCUCUUUCACCUAGGAGGGCCCCUUGGCAUUGACUGGCAUAGAUGGUGACCCUGAAGAAAGACUUCAGUUGGGCCUGAAGGCCCCGGGCCAGUGUCCAUCAUCCAGGUGCUCAGCUCCCAGUGCACUGAAGCUCAGACCCUUCCUGGUUCCCUGGUCUCUUGCACUGAGCUCUGAUGGUGAGACUUGAGGAAGACUUCCACUGGGCCUGCUUUUCCUGAGCCAGUGCCCAUCACCCAGGUGCUCAGUCCCUGGUGCACUGAAGCUCCAGCCCUUCCUGGCGCCCUGGUCUCCUGAACUGAGCUGUGUGAGCUCUUCUGCCAAGCGGUUCCCCUGGCAUUGACCAACAUAGAUGGUGAGCCUGGAGGAAGACUUGCGUUGGGCCCAAAGGCCCUAGACCAGUGUCUGUCAGCCAGGUUCCCAACCCCCGAUGCGCUGAAGCUCAAGCCUUUCCUGGCACCCUGGUCUCCUGCACUGAGCUGUGUGAGCUCUUCUGCCCAGGCGGGCCCCCUGGAAUUGAUGGGUAUAGAUGGUGACCCCGGAGGAAAAUUUGUGUUGGGCCCACUAUCCCUGGGCCAAUGUCAGUCAGCUAGGCACCCAGCCCCCAGUGCGCUGAAGCUCAGGACCUUCCUAGUGCCCUCGGCUCCUGCACUGAGCUCUGAUGGUAAGCCUGGAGGAAGACUUGUGUUGGGCCCACAGGCCCCAGGCCAAUGUCUGUCAGCCAGGUGCUCAGCCUCUGGUGCGCUGAAACUCUGACCCUUCCUGGCACACUGGUCUCCUGCACUGAGCUGGGAUUUUCCACCUAGGAGGUCCACCUGGCAUUGACUGACAUAGAUGGUGAGACUUCUGUCGGCCUCGCUUUUCCUGGGCCAGUGUCCAUCAGCCAGGUGCUCAGCCCCAGUGCACUGAAGCUCCAGCCCUUCCUGGCGCCCUGGACUGAGCUGUGUGAGCUCUUCUGCCAAGGGGGUCCUCCUGGCAUUGACCAACAUAGGUGGUGAGCCUGGAGGAAGACUUGCAUUGGGCCCAAUGGCCCUGGACCAGUGUCUGUCAGCCAGGUUCCCAGCCCCCGAUGCGCUGAAGCUCAAGCCUUUCCUGGCACCCUGGUCUCCUGCACUGAGCUGUGUGAGCUCUUCGGCCCAAGUGGUCCCCCCGGCCUUAAGCGGCAUAGUGAGCUCUUCCAAACAGGUGGGCUCCCUAGCAUUGACCGACAGAGUGAGCUCUGCCACCCAGGACAUCCCCCUGGCAUUGACUGGCAUAGAUGCUGACCCUGGAGGAAGACUUGUGUCGGGCCCCCAGGCCCCAGGCCAGUGUCCAUCAGCCAGGUGCUCAGCUCCCAGUGCGCUGAAGCUCAGACCCUUCCUGGCACCCUGGUGUCCAGCACUGAGCUGUGUGAGCUUUUCCACCCAGGUGGGCCCCCUGGCAUUGACCGACAUAGAUGAUGAGACUGGAGGAAGACUUCCAUUGGGCCCACUUUUCCUGGGCCAGUGUCCAUCAGCCAGGUGCUCAGCCCCUGGUGUACUGAAGCUCCAGCCUUUCCUGGUGCCCCAGUCUUCUGCACUAAGCUGUGUGAGCUCUUCCACCCAGGAGGGCCCCUUGGCAUUGACUGGCAUAGAUGGUGAGACGGGAGGAAGACUUGUGUUGGGCCUGCUGUUCCUGGGCCAGUGGCCAUCAGCCUGUUGCCCAGCCCCUGAGGCGCUGAAGCUCAGGCCCUUCCUCACACCCUGGUCUCCUGCACUAGCUGUGUGAGCUCUUCUGCCCAGGUGGGGCCCAUGGCCUUACACGACAUAGGAGCACGCAUUUCUUGAAGUCCUGCAAAGGUGAUGGUGGUCCAGACAGGAGAGGGUUCCUUCAGCCCAACAUAGCGCAGCUCCCAGCUGAAACUCGGAAGGCUGGUCAGGCCUCGAGGACUGCCCAGGCCACAUGAGGGUUUGGUGGCCGGGAGGGCCAAUGAUGCUCUGCGUCUGUGUUGGAUCAGUGUUCUUCAUGGAUUCCAUCACAUGGUGAGCCUUGAGGAAGACUUGUAUUGGGCCCCCACAGGCCCCAGGCCAGUGUCCGUCAGCCUGGUGCUCACCCCCAGUGUGCUGAAGCUCAGACCCUCCGUGGCACCCUGGUCUCCUGCACUGAGCUGUGUGAACUUUUCCUCCCAGAUGGGCCCCCUGGCAUUGACUGGCAUAGAUGGUGAGACCGGAGGAAGACUUGCAUUGGGCCUGUUGUUCCUGGGCCAGUGGCCAUCAGCCUGUUGCCCAGCCCCUGAUGCGCUGAAGCUCGGGCCCUUCCUCGCGCCCUGGUCUCCUGCACUGAGCUGUGUGAGCUCUUCUGCCCAGGUGAGGCCCAUGGCCUUAAGCGGCAUAGAUGGUGAGCCUGGAGGAAGACUUGUAUUGGGACCCUACAGGCCCCAGGCCAGUGUCUGUCAGCCUGGUGCUCAUCCCCCAGUGCGCUGAAGCUCAGACCCUCCCUGGCACCCUGGUCUCCUGCACUGAGCUGUGAUGGUGAGUCUGGAGGAAGACUUGUGUUGGACCCCCACAGGCCCCAGGCCAGUGUCCAUCAGCCUGGUGCUAAUCCCCCAGUGCUCUGGAGUUUGGACCCUCCCUGGCACCCUGGUCUCCUGCACUGAGCUGUGUGAGCUCUUCCACCCGGGCGGGCCCCCGGCAUUGACUGGCAUAGGUGGUGAGCCCGGAGGAGGACUUGCGUUCGGCCCGCUGGUCCCAGUGUGUCCGGAAUUGGUGGGUUCUUGGUCUCACUGACUUCAAGAAUGAAGCUGCGGACCCUCGCUAUGAUGAUAUGGAAGAAAAGCACUCUUUGGCCUGUUGUGACUGGGACAGUUGACAGCACCCAGGUGUCCUUUAAUGAAAAUGCUCUUGACACCAAUGCAUCCUAGCAUCACAGCUUCAGGAAGCCUUCUCAAGUGUGCAUGGGGAGUACUAUGUCUUUCAUCAAUAAUGAAAUCUUCUGAUUUGUAAGACAUGCUGCCAAGAGAUGUGCCAUUCUAUUAUAAAAGAUCAGUAGCUUCCUUUACCGACGUGUAUAUUCUAUCUAGAACAUUGAGCUAUGGAAGACUCCCACCUAAGGGAAUUAGUUUUACACCUUCAGAUAAAGACUGCUGAGAAGAGCACCCUCUGGUGUUGUCACAGAGGCAAGUGCUACCGCACAGGCAUGCUGCAGUGAAUUUAACUGAUCCUCUGUCCCUGCAACCGUUGUUUAAGGAUGCUAUUCUGAAAAGACUGUGGAGGAAGAAAACCCUUUACCCUGUUGUUCAGGGAGAAACUGACACCACUCAACUGCCUGGCACUGAAAAUGUGGCAUCCAGUCCACUUUACCAUCAGUGUUUAAGGAAACCAUCUCUGAUAAGGAUGACUGAGGAAGAGUACUCUUUGGCUUGUUGACACCAGCACAGCUGACACACCCAGAUAUCUGUUUGGUCUCCUGUGAACUUUCAACCAGGAUUUAAGGAUGCCACUCUGGUUAAAAGCUGAAACAACUUCAAGGAAACUUCAGGGAAAAGAGAAGGCCUGGAAUCUGAUCCUCCACUUCAGAGAACAGGGGUGGUGGAGUCUAUGGCCCUUCUCCUUGAAUCUGAGUGAAAUUAGUGAGUCUUUCAAUCCAAAGACUACAGUCAUACCUCAACUAUCUACAGAGGACUGGUUCCAGGACUCCCAUGGAUCCCAAAAUCCAAGGAUGCUUCGAAUCCCUUAUAUAAAAUGGCAUGGUAUUUGCAUAUAACCUACAUGCAUCUUCAAAUAUGUUAAACCAUCUCUAGAUUACUUAUAAUACCAAAUACAAUGUAAUGCUAUGUAAACAGUUGUUACAAUGUAUUGUCAAAGACAAGCUCUCCUUGCCAAUCCCUGACCAAAUGAGAGAUUCAUGAGCAAAAUAAAUAGUUGCUGAUAUUUAAGGCACUAAGUUUGGGGCAAUGUAUUACACAGCAAUAAAUAACUGGAACAGCAUAGUAAAUUCUAGUUAAAAAUACUAAACUACUAAGUUUUAGUUAACAUACAUGCUCAAGUUAAGGGUGUGGUAUACUAACAACUGCAACUUACUUUGAAAAGCAUAAAAAAAGACACUAGAAGAAGACAGGAUGGAUAGAUGGACAAGAUAGAAGACAAUAACAAAUAGAACAAAAUGUUGUGAAAUUAUAUUCUACAAUUAUUUUAAAGUCUGUGUGGUUUGAAAAAUUGUACGAUAAAAUGAAGAGUGAAAUAAAGACAUUUCCAUACAAACAAAAGCUGAAAGAUUUUGUAGCCAGUAGACCUAUACUUUAGAAAUGUUUAAGAAAUUUUUUCAAGUAAAAGGAAAAUAACACCAGCAACAAACUUGGAUCUACAAAAAGGAAUCUCCACAAAGAAAAAUAAAUAAAAAUGGUAAAUAUGAAGGUAAAUAUAAAGGAAUGUUAUUCUUAGUUUUUAAGUUUCUUCGUAAGACAACUGGCCUUUGAAAGAAAUAGUUUCAAACGCUGCUGUGGAAUCUAUAACACAUAUAGAAGUAAAAUGUUAAGAUCAUAAUACCAAAAAGAAUGAGGGAGAGUAAAUGGAUGUAUACUAUUCCAAAAUUCUUACAUUAUACAUUAAGAGGAAUAAUAUUUUUGAAGGUAGAUUGAGGUAAGUUAAAGGUGCAUAUUGUAAAUCCUAGAAGUAUCACUGGGGGGAAAAAAAACAGAGGGACAAGCUAAUAAUGGAGACAAUACAAAAUUCCAAAAAUGCUCCAUUAACCGAAAAGAAGGCAGAAAAGGAAGAAAAGAUUAGACAAAUAGAAAACAAAUAGUGUCUUAAACACAAUUAUAUUGCCAACUGCAAUAAAUGUAAAUGGACUUAAUCAAAAAGCAACGAUCGUAAAAAGUCAAUCUGAAAGCAAGAUGCAACUAUAUGCUAUCUAAAAGAAAGACAUUAAAUGACCAAUAAGCUGAAAAUAAAAACACAGCAAAAUGAUAUAAUGUGCAAAAAUUAAUCAUAAGAAAGGAAUGGAUACACUAAUAUCAAAGUAGACUUUAGAUAAGGAACAUUACCAGCGAUAAACAGAGACAUUUCAUAAUGAUAAAGACAUCAAUUAAUCAAGGAGAUCUAACAGUCCUAAAUGUGAACACACCUAAGGACACAA
RNAcentral lists this long non-coding RNA (6331 nucleotides) under Homo sapiens (human). Its description in RNAcentral is "small nucleolar RNA host gene 14". The stretch from base 1 to 81 matches the Rfam family "Small nucleolar RNA SNORD115". Lineage: Eukaryota; Metazoa; Chordata; Mammalia; Primates; Hominidae. The record is from RNAcentral.